Molecule: ribosomal RNA, 1417 nt
Filed under: Salmonella enterica
Lineage: Bacteria; Pseudomonadati; Pseudomonadota; Gammaproteobacteria; Enterobacterales; Enterobacteriaceae
Description: partial 23S ribosomal RNA
Rfam family: Bacterial large subunit ribosomal RNA
Source: RNAcentral
CGAAAGGCGUAGUCGAUGGGAAACGGGUUAAUAUUCCCGUACUUGGUGUUACUGCGAAGGGGGGACGGAGAAGGCUAUGUUGGCCGGGCGACGGUUGUCCCGGUUUAAGCGUGUAGGUGUGUGUUCCAGGUAAAUCCGGUUCACUUUAACACUGAGGCGUGACGACGAGGCACUACGGUGCUGAAGCAACAAAUGCCCUGCUUCCAGGAAAAGCCUCUAAGCAUCAGGUAACAUCAAAUCGUACCCCAAACCGACACAGGUGGUCAGGUAGAGAAUACCAAGGCGCUUGAGAGAACUCGGGUGAAGGAACUAGGCAAAAUGGUGCCGUAACUUCGGGAGAAGGCACGCUGACACGUAGGUGAAGUGAUUUACUCAUGGAGCUGAAGUCAGUCGAAGAUACCAGCUGGCUGCAACUGUUUAUUAAAAACACAGCACUGUGCAAACACGAAAGUGGACGUAUACGGUGUGACGCCUGCCCGGUGCCGGAAGGUUAAUUGAUGGGGUCAGCGCAAGCGAAGCUCCUGAUCGAAGCCCCGGUAAACGGCGGCCGUAACUAUAACGGUCCUAAGGUAGCGAAAUUCCUUGUCGGGUAAGUUCCGACCUGCACGAAUGGCGUAAUGAUGGCCAGGCUGUCUCCACCCGAGACUCAGUGAAAUUGAACUCGCUGUGAAGAUGCAGUGUACCCGCGGCAAGACGGAAAGACCCCGUGAACCUUUACUAUAGCUUGACACUGAACAUUGAGCCUUGAUGUGUAGGAUAGGUGGGAGGCUUUGAAGUGUGGACGCCAGUCUGCAUGGAGCCGACCUUGAAAUACCACCCUUUAAUGUUUGAUGUUCUAACGUGGACCCGUGAUCCGGGUUGCGGACAGUGUCUGGUGGGUAGUUUGACUGGGGCGGUCUCCUCCUAAAGAGUAACGGAGGAGCACGAAGGUUGGCUAAUCCUGGUCGGACAUCAGGAGGUUAGUGCAAUGGCAUAAGCCAGCUUGACUGCGAGCGUGACGGCGCGAGCAGGUGCGAAAGCAGGUCAUAGUGAUCCGGUGGUUCUGAAUGGAAGGGCCAUCGCUCAACGGAUAAAAGGUACUCCGGGGAUAACAGGCUGAUACCGCCCAAGAGUUCAUAUCGACGGCGGUGUUUGGCACCUCGAUGUCGGCUCAUCACAUCCUGGGGCUGAAGUAGGUCCCAAGGGUAUGGCUGUUCGCCAUUUAAAGUGGUACGCGAGCUGGGUUUAGAACGUCGUGAGACAGUUCGGUCCCUAUCUGCCGUGGGCGCUGGAGAACUGAGGGGGGCUGCUCCUAGUACGAGAGGACCGGAGUGGACGCAUCACUGGUGUUCGGGUUGUCAUGCCAAUGGCACUGCCCGGUAGCUAAAUGCGGAAGAGAUAAGUGCUGAAAGCAUCUAAGCACGAAACUUGCCCCGAG